This 177-nucleotide ribosomal RNA is filed under the name uncultured Vibrio sp. RNAcentral describes it as "partial 16S ribosomal RNA". It matches the Rfam family "Bacterial small subunit ribosomal RNA", at positions 355 to 524 of the family's 1533-position model. The record is from RNAcentral. RNAcentral also lists the same sequence under 1 other name. Lineage: Bacteria; Pseudomonadati; Pseudomonadota; Gammaproteobacteria; Vibrionales; Vibrionaceae.
UGGGGAAUAUUGCACAAUGGGCGCAAGCCUGAUGCAGCCAUGCCGCGUGUAUGAAGAAGGCCUUCGGGUUGUAAAGUACUUUCAGUAGGGAGGAAGGUGGUUAAGCUAAUACCUUAAUCAUUUGACGUUACCUACAGAAGAAGCACCGGCUAACUCCGUGCCAGCAGCCGCGGUAAU